This 889-nucleotide ribosomal RNA is filed under the name Wolbachia pipientis. RNAcentral describes it as "bacterial SSU rRNA". It matches the Rfam family "Bacterial small subunit ribosomal RNA", at positions 72 to 997 of the family's 1533-position model. Lineage: Bacteria; Pseudomonadati; Pseudomonadota; Alphaproteobacteria; Rickettsiales; Anaplasmataceae. The record is from RNAcentral.
UUGUAGCCUUGCUAUGGUAUAACUUAGUGGCAGACGGGUGAGUAAUGUAUAGGAAUCUACCUAGUAGUACGGAAUAAUUGUUGGAAACGACAACUAAUACCGUAUACGCCCUACGGGGGAAAAAUUUAUUGCUAUUAGAUGAGCCUAUAUUAGAUUAGCUAGUUGGUGGGGUAAUAGCCUACCAAGGUAAUGAUCUAUAGCUGAUCUGAGAGGAUGAUCAGCCACACUGGAACUGAGAUACGGUCCAGACUCCUACGGGAGGCAGCAGUGGGGAAUAUUGGACAAUGGGCGAAAGCCUGAUCCAGCCAUGCCGCAGAGUGAAGAAGGCCUUUGGGUUGUAAAGCUCUUUUAGUGAGGAAGAUAAUGACGGUACUCACAGAAGAAGUCCUGGCUAACUCCGUGCCAGCAGCCGCGGUAAUACGGAGAGGGCUAGCGUUAUUCGGAAUUAUUGGGCGUAAAGGGCGCGUAGGCUGGUUAAUAAGUUAAAAGUGAAAUCCCGAGGCUUAACCUUGGAAUUGCUUUUAAAACUAUUAAUCUAGAGAUUGAAAGAGGAUAGGGGAAUUCCUGAUGUAGAGGUAAAAUUCGUAAAUAUUAGGAGGAACACCAGUGGCGAAGGCGUCUAUCUGGUUCAAAUCUGACGCUGAAGCGCGAAGGCGUGGGGAGCAAACAGGAUUAGAUACCCUGGUAGUCCACGCUGUAAACGAUGAAUGUUAAAUAUGGGGAGUUUACUUUCUGUAUUACAGCUAACGCGUUAAACAUUCCGCCUGGGGACUACGGUCGCAAGAUUAAAACUCAAAGGAAUUGACGGGGACCCGCACAAGCGGUGGAGCAUGUGGUUUAAUUCGAUGCAACGCGAAAAACCUUACCACUUCUUGACAUGAAAAUCAAA